RNAcentral lists this ribosomal RNA (189 nucleotides) under Scheffersomyces stipitis CBS 6054. Its description in RNAcentral is "partial 18S ribosomal RNA". Lineage: Eukaryota; Fungi; Ascomycota; Pichiomycetes; Serinales; Debaryomycetaceae. The record is from RNAcentral.
AGUAUCACUCAAUACCAAACCCGAGGGUUUGAGAGAGAAAUGACGCUCAAACAGGCAUGCCCUUUGGAAUACCAAAGGGCGCAAUGUGCGUUCAAAGAUUCGAUGAUUCACGAAAAUCUGCAAUUCAUAUUACUUAUCGCAUUUCGCUGCGUUCUUCAUCGAUGCGAGAACCAAGAGAUCCGUUGUUGA